UUGAACGCUGGCGGUAUGCUUUACACAUGCAAGUCGAACGGGCUAUGGGGCUUGCUCCAUAGUUAGUGGCGAACGGGUGAGUAAUAUAUCGGAACAUAUCCGGAAGUGGGGGAUAACGUAGCGAAAGUUACGCUAAUACCGCAUAUGCCCUGAGGGGGAAAGGGGGGGAUCGCAAGACCUCUCGCUUUCGGAGUGGCCGAUAUCGGAUUAGCUAGUAGGUGAGGUAAAGGCUCACCUAGGCGACGAUCCGUAGCUGGUCUGAGAGGACGACCAGCCACACUGGAACUGAGACACGGUCCAGACUCCUACGGGAGGCAGCAGUGGGGAAUUUUGGACAAUGGGCGAAAGCCUGAUCCAGCCAUACCGCGUGAGUGAAGAAGGCCUUCGGGUUGUAAACUGCUUUUGUACGGAACGAAAAAGUCUUCUCUAAUACAGGGGGCGAAUGACGGUACCGUAAGAAUAAGCACCGGCUAACUACGU
RNAcentral lists this ribosomal RNA (480 nucleotides) under uncultured bacterium. Its description in RNAcentral is "bacterial SSU rRNA". It matches the Rfam family "Bacterial small subunit ribosomal RNA", at positions 30 to 506 of the family's 1533-position model. The record is from RNAcentral.